This 604-nucleotide long non-coding RNA is filed under the name Brachypodium distachyon (stiff brome). RNAcentral's name for it is "long non-coding RNA (BDIS_LNC002541)". Lineage: Eukaryota; Viridiplantae; Streptophyta; Magnoliopsida; Poales; Poaceae. The record is from RNAcentral.
CCAAAUGAUUAUAGGAGUAUUUUCUUAACCAAAUUACACAUGCAUGUGUGUCCGUUAAUCUUCUACGUGCAUUAUUUUUUUUUGCUGUUUUUUUACUUGUAGAUAUAAUUUUCCGUAUAUAGGUAUAUAAUAGAAAACCGACCAUUGGUUGGAUGGGUAGGGUGGUGGUUGUACCACCAGUCCACCAUGGGUCAAAUUCCAGAUUUGAUAACUUGGAUCUCAUUUCAGACAAAUUACUUUUUCAAUGGUAGGCGCCGGUGUGCCCGUCAACAAUCUUAAGGUGAUGAGCCCAUCCCGACUAGAACUCGAUUCAUGUGAUGUGCGCGCGCGCGGCAAGUCGAGUGAGUGAGCGAGCAUGUGAUUUUUGAGGAAUUAUAUUUGGACAGGUCCUAAAUAUUCAACACUAACCCCUCUACAGAUAUGUUUCUUUGUCAAAACAUCGUCAUUUCUUAGGCGAAGAAUCGCUGGGUUUUAGCAUACAAUGACCUGGCCAAGCGACCAUGGCGAUAAAAAAGCGGUGGAUAAUAAUGUGAUAUAUAAAAUCAGCAUCCUCGCUCCGGACUAUGCAUGGUUGAUCUGUUCUAGUGUGGACGUCAAAAGUAUG